Molecule: ribosomal RNA, 292 nt
Filed under: uncultured Alphaproteobacteria bacterium
Lineage: Bacteria; Pseudomonadati; Pseudomonadota; Alphaproteobacteria
Description: partial 16S ribosomal RNA
Source: RNAcentral
GGACUACAGGGGUUUCUAAUCCUGUUUGCUCCCCACGCUUUCGCAUCUCAGCGUCAGUAAUGGACCAGUUGGCCGCCUUCGCCACUGGUGUUCUUGCGAAUAUCUACGAAUUUCACCUCUACACUCGCAGUUCCACCAACCUCUUCCACACUCGAGCUAGACAGUAUCGAAGGCAGUUCUGAGGUUGAGCCUCAGGAUUUCACCCCCGACUUGAAUAGCCGCCUACAUGCGCUUUACGCCCAGUGAUUCCGAACAACGCUAGCCCCCUUCGUAUUACCGCGGCUGCUGGCAC